CCAAUAGCGUAUAUUAAAGUUGCUGCAGUUAAAAAGCUCGUAGUUGAAUUUCGGGACUAAUAUGUCGGUCGUGCCUCGGUACGUACUGGUUUAUUGGUUUCUCCUUUCUGAAGAACCAUGAUGUCAUUUAUUUGGUGUCGUGGGGAAUCAGGACUGUUACUUUGAAAAAAUUAGAGUGUUUAAAGCAGGCUCACGCUUGAAUACAUUAGCAUGGAAUAAUGAAAUAGGACGUUUGAUUCUAUUUUGUUGGUUUCUAGGAUAGACGUAAUGAUUAAUAGGGAUAGUUGGGGGCAUUAGUAUUCAAUGGUCAGAGGUGAAAUUCUUGGAUUUAUUGAAGACUAACUACUGCGAAAGCAUUUGCCAAGGAUGUUUUCAUUAAUCAAGAACGAAAGUUAGGGGAUCGAAGACGAUCAGAUACCGUCGUAGUCUUAACCAUAAACUAUGCCGACUAGGGAUCGGAUGAUGUUAAUUUUUUAAUGACUCAUUCGGCGCCUUACG
RNAcentral lists this ribosomal RNA (498 nucleotides) under uncultured Glomus. RNAcentral's name for it is "SSU rRNA". It matches the Rfam family "Eukaryotic small subunit ribosomal RNA", at positions 591 to 1092 of the family's 1831-position model. The record is from RNAcentral. Lineage: Eukaryota; Fungi; Glomeromycota; Glomeromycetes; Glomerales; Glomeraceae.